Molecule: long non-coding RNA, 403 nt
Filed under: Manihot esculenta (cassava)
Lineage: Eukaryota; Viridiplantae; Streptophyta; Magnoliopsida; Malpighiales; Euphorbiaceae
Description: long non-coding RNA (MESC_LNC008283)
Source: RNAcentral
UAUAUAUAUGGGAACUCACUUACUUGGGUUAAGUUAAUCAAUUUACUUCCUUAAAGGUAAGGGAAGUUAGCAAAUAUGACCAAAUAAACAAGAUGAAUUUUAGCACUUUCUGAAAAUUUUAUCUUCCUUAGCUAACUUCUCUCAAAACAAACAAGACUUUAAUUAAAUAAUUAAGAAAGGAAUAAUGAAGAUCAGUUUCUACAAUAAUUAAAUCUCUGCUUGUGGUUCUAUCUGCUGGAAUUCUUUCCUGGAUUCUGCCGAGCUAGCUUCCUCUAUUUUGCUGCUGGCGACAUCUUCUAGUUGCUCGCUGAAGUUCUGAUGUAAUUUUUGCCUUGUGUUCGACUUGUAAAUUGUGGCUUAAUUAUCCGUAAAACUUUAUGAUACAUGGAUAGAAGAAUCCCAU